CCAAUUUGUUGUUCCAUAUCCAGUUCUAACUGUAGCUUCUUGUCCCACAUAGAGAUUUCUCAGGAGAAAGAUGGGGUGAUCAGGCACUCCCAUUUCUUUAAGAACUUGCCAUAGUCUGCUGAGGUCGACACAGUCAAAAGUUCUAGUGCUUUGUUAAAGAGAAAGUACCUGUCGCUCACAAGCCCCUGUAGGACAGACUCCACAGCAAGGAGAGGGGCUGUCUUUGAGCAUGUGAAGAGCUCCCUGUUCAGUGCCUUUGAGCAUGUGAAGAGCUCCCUGUUCAGGGCCUUGGAGUAGGUUAAGAGCUCCCUCUUCAGUGCCUUGGGGCGUGUGAGGAGUUCCAUGUUCAGUGCCUUUGUUCAUGAAGCUAUUUGUGGAUACAUUCUUUAUACCGUAGAACAGGAUAUGUUACAUGAGAACGCAAGUGGUGGCUGAUACCCCAAAGAUUACCGACGUUUCUGUUAAGCUGUGGGUGAACAUAUCAGACGACACAGCGAUUCUUCAAACAGCUCUUCUUUAUUCACAGGCCAGAACAGAACUGAAGGGUUCAGCCAGCCUGCUUAUACAGAGCUCCACUAGAACGCAACAAUAACCAUUUUCUGUAGCUAUCCAAUCACUGAACGUCACUUUCGAUCCCUUAUUUGCAUAUGGGGACCUGAACUAUCUACAGUAUCCCCCUGCUGGCCCAAGGUGAGAACUUCAGUACAUAACAGCUUCUUUCCCCUUUCUGGGCUUUGCGCCCAGCCCCCCAAGCUCACAGAUAAGGGUACCAUCCAAGCAGGCCAAUUUGUGGGUAUCAACGCGAGCUGUGUAUGAGCUCAAUGCUGCAGCUACUGCUGCCCAUUAAGAAUGGCGUCAUCUUGGAGGGGCCACUAGGGGCGCAUCGGAAGAUGGCUGACAAUAACAUCUCUCCGACCCACACGAGGUAAUUAGGAGUCUGUGAUGAGAGUAAAUAGCCUCCCUACCCCCCCAAGGUUAUGGGGGGGCUGCCCUUGCCUGCUGUGCUCUAUACCACCCCCGAAUUUGUGGGGAUGGGGGCACUAGGCAGAAUGCCCUCCUGUGGAUCUCGGUGCUCCUGGUCGCUGUCUCUGAUCCGCGCCGCUAGCUGCAAGAACUUCAAAAGGAACAAUUAGGAAGAAGCGAAUGCACAUAUUUCAAGGAAGGAGGGGGAGUAAAGACUGCUAACUGAAGAGUUCUCUGAUAAACAAGAUGAGUCGGAGGAACAAGAAUCAAUCAUGAGAAGAUAUGCCAAGACUCGGUAUGGCAAAGGGACUGGAUGGGGGAGGGGAAAAAAACCUUUCCUUUCUUUCCUCUAUGUGAUUAAACAAGAAUCCCCCCCACCCUCACAAGUCAGAAAUGCCGUUUUAAUGACUUAAGCUGUGGAUUUACGGCUGUGUGGAGAUAAAUUUUUUAACCAAAGCAUGUUUUAAGAAAAGCGUGGAAAGUUUAAGAGUUUUGGAAUGACGCAGUUAAAAAUACCGUCGCCAUGUUGGCAAGCUCUGUCGGAGGACUUGAGUCUGGGAGGAGGAAAAGAGCUGUUUUUAUAUUGUGGGUGAGACUCCUCAGUGGGACUUAAGAACGACAGAUCCUGAGAUUAAUGAUGGAAAGAGCGAUGUUAUUUAUGAAAGUGAUGAUAUAUGGAAACCAUCUCAAUAUGAGGAUUGGACGAACGGAAAAAUCCACACAGGAUAUAAUUGGUGUUUAUCUGCUUAAGGAGAUUAUCAGAAGAGGUCAUAAAGAAAAAAAGAAAAAAUAUACGAACAAGAUGAGAUGUGGAAACAGCAAGAUAAGACUGGAU
This 1798-nucleotide long non-coding RNA is filed under the name Podarcis lilfordi (Lilford's wall lizard). The record is from RNAcentral. Lineage: Eukaryota; Metazoa; Chordata; Lepidosauria; Squamata; Lacertidae.